This 435-nucleotide ribosomal RNA is filed under the name uncultured Anaerolineaceae bacterium. Its description in RNAcentral is "bacterial SSU rRNA". It matches the Rfam family "Bacterial small subunit ribosomal RNA", at positions 936 to 1382 of the family's 1533-position model. The record is from RNAcentral. Lineage: Bacteria; Bacillati; Chloroflexota; Anaerolineae; Anaerolineales; Anaerolineaceae.
AUGAUGUGGAUUAAUUCGAUGCAACGCGAAAACCUUACCUACCCUUUGACAUGCCAGGAACUUGCCAGAGAUGGCUUGGUGCCCGAAAGGGAGCCUGGACACAGGUGCUGCAUGGGCUGUCGUCAGCUCGUGUCGUGAGAUGUUGGGUUAAGUCCGCUAACGAGCGCAACCCUCGUCGUAUGUUAUAUGUGUCAUACGAGACUGCCGGUAAAAAGCCGGAGGAAGGUGAGGAUGAUGUCAAGUCAGCAUGACCUUUAUAUCCAGGGCUACACACACGCUACAAUGGUCUGUACAAUGGGUAGCCAAGCCGCGAGGCGGAGCCAAUCCUGAAAGCAGGCCUCAGUUCAGAUUGCAGUCUGCAACUCGACUGCAUGAAGCCGGAGUUGCUAGUAACCGCAGGUCAGCAAUACUGCGGUGAAUACGUUCCCGGGUCUU